GAGGUUGACUUAACCCGAGGUGUAUAGAAGUAUGAAAUUCAUCUGUCAUGUUCAGGCCUUGAGAAACAACUGGACUUUGGUUGACUCCAUUUGGGUCCCUUGUGCCAUAAACCUAAGGUCCACAUUCCACAAUUUGAUCCUUGUCAGAAUAUGCAGGUCUCAUGUGAAUAUGGAGCAUUUUGUUCUGGUCCACAUCUUUUAUAAUUUGUUUUUAAAUCAAAAUACCUUCUUGUACAAUUCCAUGUUUUCUUGAUGGAUUAGGUUUACCUUCUUAUAAAGCUCUUGGUUUUCUUGGUGAACAAGGCUUCCCUACAAUGGAUAUUUAGUGAAAUUAAGAUUAUGUAUUAGUCUUCAGAUCACUAAGAAGUGUUACAGAGAGGCAUUUAUGAGAAACCUUCCGAUUAAGUUCUUGGAUUUCAUCAGACAGGAGUUUGUCCUGCAAACAUGAGGGAUGUAAGACAGCACUUUCUCAAGUGUUUGAUAGAUAACUGGAGCUUUGCAAUCAUCUUUUAUACGACCAAACGAUAUUAGUAUUACCUUCUUCAUUCGAACAACACGUAAGCUCAUGUCCAGUUUGUUCUCUAAAUUCUGUAGGUCUUCAACAUUCAUGCCAGAGAGCUCUUCCCCCAUCAGCUUCCUGGUUGCAGGUAGAGAUCCUUUUAUGUGCUGUCCCCUCUUAAUAAUUUGAAAUUCAUGAUAUUGGUAUAAAUAAAAAAAUCCGUUCUGCUUCAUGAUGGUUGUGAAAUCCUAUAGUAGACUGCCUACAUUUUCAGAAUGUAUGACUUGAUCAUUAGAUGCAAGUGUGACCAUAGCAUACUCAUAUCUAUUUCCCUAUGCCAAGUUUGUUUCAGAAGUAAAAUUUCU
This 864-nucleotide non-coding RNA is filed under the name Triglochin maritima. The record is from RNAcentral. Lineage: Eukaryota; Viridiplantae; Streptophyta; Magnoliopsida; Alismatales; Juncaginaceae.